Mastomys coucha (southern multimammate mouse) is the source of this 383-nucleotide long non-coding RNA. RefSeq lists it as uncharacterized. NCBI's taxonomy places the organism in Eukaryota, Metazoa, Chordata, Mammalia, Rodentia, Muridae. The record is from RefSeq and is a predicted model, not a curated record. The transcript has 2 exons.
GUCUGUCUGGACAUUCCUGGGAGAAAGACCACUCAACCUCAUCAUUUAUGAAGUUAUUGAUAGACUUAUCUACAAGAUUUUUCAGACGAGAAUUGGCUGGUAGUCUCAUUUUUCUUCACAUGAGAGAACAUUGGCAAGACAGUUGUUCUGCACAGAGAAUUCUACUGCACCAAAGCCCCAAAUCAUUUCAAAUGAAUGAGUAUUGCAUUGGCUGGGACUCAUCCCUUGGGGGUAUUUGCUUGUUUGGUUACAAUACAGCUUCAAUAAUUGAGGUCUCUUUUUUCCCAGUGAAAUAUUACAAUCAACUAUGGUCAAUUUAAGUAACUUUGAGUUAAUGUAAAACCAGAUUUUGUGACAUCUGAAAUUACAAGAUGAUUUUUAAA